Long non-coding RNA from Sander lucioperca (pikeperch), 163 nucleotides. RefSeq lists it as uncharacterized. Lineage: Eukaryota; Metazoa; Chordata; Actinopteri; Perciformes; Percidae. The transcript has 3 exons. The record is from RefSeq and is a predicted model, not a curated record.
UCCAUCUAUUAGACAAACUUUCAAAAGUCUGAGUCAACUGUGGUAUUUGUGUGUUGUCAAAUGUGGAAGGUGAAAUUACUUAAAUGUAAAAAAGAUCCACAAGGAACUUUUCCUAAGUUCUAAAGCACACAACAAAAUAGCCUUGAUCUUUAUGCUUAACUUU